Nannospalax galili (Upper Galilee mountains blind mole rat) is the source of this 270-nucleotide long non-coding RNA. RefSeq lists it as uncharacterized. The transcript is spliced from 3 exons. Lineage: Eukaryota; Metazoa; Chordata; Mammalia; Rodentia; Spalacidae. The record is from RefSeq and is a predicted model, not a curated record.
GGAUAGCAGGAGGGGUCCCCCAGAGUGGAUGCUAUUGAGGAUCACUGCUUUGGUCACUGCCACCCUCUACUGGAUGGAGAGAUGUGUGACUAAAGAAAUUCGACAAAGGAUGAUGCAGAGCCAAGACUCAUGAAGAUGUUACAGACAGAAGCAAGCCACUCUAAAUGAGUCAGGGUACCAAGGCAAGAAGAGGAAGAAAAACUGCAGUGUUGGGAGAGAAGCGAUUCAUUUCCACUGGCUGCUCUGUGACAGCUGCUAAUACAAGAAGAC